UGGGGAAUUUUCCGCAAUGGGCGAAAGCCUGACGGAGCAAGACCGCGUGAGGGAGGAAGGCUCUUGGGUUGUAAACCUCUUUUCUCUGGGAAGAAGUCCUGACGGUACCAGAGGAAUCAGCAUCGGCUAACUCCGUGCCAGCAGCCGCGGUAAUACGGAGGAUGCAAGCGUUAUCCGGAAUCAUUGGGCGUAAAGCGUCCGCAGGUGGACUGGUAAGUCUGCCGUCAAAGCACGGGGCUUAACCCCGUAAAGGCGGUGGAAACUGCCAGACUAGAGGCUGGUAGGGGUAGAGGGAAUUCCCAGUGUAGCGGUGAAAUGCGUAGAGAUUGGGAAGAACACCAGUGGCGAAAGCGCUCUACUGGACCAGAACUGACACUCAGGGACGAAAGCUAGGGGAGCGAAAG
Molecule: ribosomal RNA, 404 nt
Filed under: uncultured cyanobacterium
Lineage: Bacteria; Bacillati; Cyanobacteriota
Description: partial 16S ribosomal RNA
Rfam family: Bacterial small subunit ribosomal RNA
Source: RNAcentral